This 72-nucleotide transfer RNA is filed under the name archaeon. RNAcentral's name for it is "tRNA-Val". It matches the Rfam family "tRNA". Rfam says of the family: Transfer RNA (tRNA) molecules are approximately 80 nucleotides in length. Their secondary structure includes four short double-helical elements and three loops (D, anti-codon, and T loops). Further hydrogen bonds mediate the characteristic L-shaped molecular structure. tRNAs have two regions of fundamental functional importance: the anti-codon, which is responsible for specific mRNA codon recognition, and the 3' end, to which the tRNAs corresponding amino acid is attached (by aminoacyl-tRNA synthetases). tRNAs cope with the degeneracy of the genetic code in two manners: having more than one tRNA (with a specific anti-codon) for a particular amino acid; and 'wobble' base-pairing, i.e. permitting non-standard base-pairing at the 3rd anti-codon position. The record is from RNAcentral.
GGGCCUGUGGUCUAGUGGUAUGACGCGACCUUUACAAGGUCGAGGUCGGCGGUUCAAUUCCGCCCAGGCCCA